AUUGAACGCUGGCGGCAUGCCUUACACAUGCAAGUCGAACGGUAACGGGCCUUCGGGUGCCGACGAGUGGCGAACGGGUGAGUAAUACAUCGGAACGUGCCCGAUCGUGGGGGAUAACGAGGCGAAAGCUUUGCUAAUACCGCAUACGAUCUACGGAUGAAAGCAGGGGACCGCAAGGCCUUGCGCGGACGGAGCGGCCGAUGGCAGAUUAGGUAGUUGGUGGGAUAAAAGCUUACCAAGCCGACGAUCUGUAGCUGGUCUGAGAGGAUGAUCAGCCACACUGGGACUGAGACACGGCCCAGACUCCUACGGGAGGCAGCAGUGGGGAAUUUUGGACAAUGGGCGCAAGCCUGAUCCAGCCAUGCCGCGUGCAGGAUGAAGGCCUUCGGGUUGUAAACUGCUUCUGUACGGAACGAAAAGCCUUCUUUUAAUACAGGAGGGUCAUGACGGUACCGUAAGAAUAAGCACCGGCUAACUACGU
RNAcentral lists this ribosomal RNA (481 nucleotides) under uncultured bacterium. RNAcentral describes it as "partial 16S ribosomal RNA". It matches the Rfam family "Bacterial small subunit ribosomal RNA", at positions 30 to 506 of the family's 1533-position model. The record is from RNAcentral.